RNAcentral lists this ribosomal RNA (484 nucleotides) under uncultured bacterium. RNAcentral's name for it is "partial 16S ribosomal RNA". It matches the Rfam family "Bacterial small subunit ribosomal RNA", at positions 30 to 507 of the family's 1533-position model. The record is from RNAcentral.
AUUGAACGCUGGCGGCAGGCCUAACACAUGCAAGUCGAGCGGAUGAAGGGAGCUUGCUCCUGGAUUCAGCGGCGGACGGGAGAGUAAUGCCUAGGAAUCUGCCUGGUAGUGGGGGAUAACGUCCGGAAACGGGCGCUAAUACCGCAUACGUCCUGAGGGAGAAAGUGGGGGAUCUUCGGACCUCACGCUAUCAGAUGAGCCUAGGUCGGAUUAGCUAGUUGGUGGGGUAAAGGCCUACCAAGGCGACGAUGCGUAACUGGUCUGAGAGGAUGAUCAGUCACACUGGAACUGAGACACGGUCCAGACUCCUACGGGAGGCAGCAGUGGGGAAUAUUGGACAAUGGGCGAAAGCCUGAUCCAGCCAUGCCGCGUGUGUGAAGAAGGUCUUCGGAUUGUAAAGCACUUUAAGUUGGGAGGAAGGGCAGUAAGUUAAUACCUUGCUGUUUUGACGUUACCAACAGAAUAAGCACCGGCUAACUUCGUG